AAUGUGCUAAAUAAGCCUGCUAAGCCUAAUUACUGGUAUUAACCUACCAGACACAUU
This 57-nucleotide transfer RNA is filed under the name Calotes versicolor. RNAcentral's name for it is "tRNA-Ser specifying AGY codons". The record is from RNAcentral. Lineage: Eukaryota; Metazoa; Chordata; Lepidosauria; Squamata; Agamidae.